This 409-nucleotide long non-coding RNA is filed under the name Lathyrus oleraceus (garden pea). Its description in RNAcentral is "Pisum sativum (pea) long non-coding RNA (PSAT_LNC011450)". Lineage: Eukaryota; Viridiplantae; Streptophyta; Magnoliopsida; Fabales; Fabaceae. The record is from RNAcentral.
UGUUAUCUCCCUAGUCUCUGGUUAGGAGAAAGUUUCUCCCCUGUUAAGGGGAACUACGUAGCCUUGAUUCUCAUACCAGAUGAGAUACGUAGGCAGGAGAUUGAGCGAGAUCUCUCCGGGCGCCCUUUUUCUUUUUUCGCCCUUUUGUUUUUUUUAGUGUGUUCAACUUUUUGUUUCCUGUUUUGUUUUGUGGAGUUAGAUGUAAGACCAUUGAUUGGCUAUCUGUUUCCUAUUUUGUUUGAGGAGUUAGAUGUAAGACCAUUGAUUGGCUAUUUGUUUCCUGUUUUGUUUGAGGAGUUAGAUGUAAGACCAUUGAUUGGCUAUCUGUUUCCUGUUUUGAUUUGUGGAGUUAGAUGUAAGACCAUUGAUUGGCUUUCUGUUUCCCGUUUGUUUUUGGAGUUGGAUGCAA